This 440-nucleotide ribosomal RNA is filed under the name uncultured bacterium. Its description in RNAcentral is "partial 16S ribosomal RNA". It matches the Rfam family "Bacterial small subunit ribosomal RNA", at positions 338 to 795 of the family's 1533-position model. The record is from RNAcentral.
CCUACGGGAGGCAGCAGUGGGGAAUAUUGCACAAUGGGGGAAACCCUGAUGCAGCGACGCCGCGUGAGUGAAGACGUAAUUCGUUAUGUAAAGCUCUAUCAGCAGGGAAGAAAAUGACGGUACCUGAGUAAGAAGCCCCGGCUAACUACGUGCCAGCAGCCGCGGUAAUACGUAGGGGGCAAGCGUUAUCCGGAUUUACUGGGUGUAACGGGAGCGUAGACGGCAGUGCAAGUCUGGAGUGAAAGGCGGGGGCUCAACCCCCGGACUGCUCUGGAAACUGUACGGAUGGAGUGCAGGAGAGGUAAGUGGAAUUCCUAGUGUAGCGGUGAAAUGCGUAGAUAUUAGGAGGAACACCAGUGGCGAAGGCGGCUUACUGGACUGUAACUGACGUUGAGGCUCGAAAGCGUGGGGAGCAAACAGGAUUAGAUACCCCUGUAGUC